AACGAACGCUGGCGGCAGGCUUAACACAUGCAAGUCGAGCGCCCCGCAAGGGGAGCAGCAGCCGGGUGAGUAACGCGUGGGAACGUACCUUUUGGUUCGGAACAACUCCGGGAAACUGGAGCUAAUACCGGAUAAGCCCUAACGGGGAAAGAUUUAUCGCCGAAAGAUCGGCCCGCGUCUGAUUAGCUAGUUGGUGAGGUAACGGCUCACCAAGGCGACGAUCAGUAGCUGGUCUGAGAGGAUGAUCAGCCACACUGGGACUGAGACACGGCCCAGACUCCUACGGGAGGCAGCAGUGGGGAAUAUUGGACAAUGGGCGCAAGGCUGAUCCAGCCAUGCCGCGUGAGUGAUGAAGGCCUUAGGGUUGUAAAGCUCUUUUGUCCGGGAAGAUAAUGACUGUACCGGAAGAAUAAGCCCCGGCUAACUUCGUG
RNAcentral lists this ribosomal RNA (431 nucleotides) under uncultured bacterium. RNAcentral's name for it is "partial 16S ribosomal RNA". It matches the Rfam family "Bacterial small subunit ribosomal RNA", at positions 29 to 507 of the family's 1533-position model. The record is from RNAcentral.